This 1037-nucleotide long non-coding RNA is filed under the name Populus tremula. Its description in RNAcentral is "long non-coding RNA (PTRE_LNC002303)". Lineage: Eukaryota; Viridiplantae; Streptophyta; Magnoliopsida; Malpighiales; Salicaceae. The record is from RNAcentral.
CUAACUAUUCUAGCAAAAUGAAAAGUACUCGCUAUAUACAGCGAGUACUGCAACAUUUCUCAAUUAGCCGCCUUGCUGGUGGCGCCAGAGAAGGCUUGCCACAGGGUUUGCUCGCAGCUGCUUAGCUUUAAACCUUGCAAAAACUGAAAACAUCAAAGCAGACAGAAAACAGAGAUGAAGUAUUAUAACAACUGCGCAAUAACAGUGAUGAAGAGGCAAAGGGUUUGCUAUGAAAGCUUCGGCGGUGGUUGGAUGUUGGUCUUGGUACGUCGGCCUUGACGUUGGAGGUAAUUAAUCACCCCUUCUUCUUGUUUUUUUUUUCUUCGCUUAAUUUCUUUUUAGGUUUAUCAAUCUGUUAAUUUUUUUGCGUGAAAUUGAAAGAAUUUGUUUGGUUCUCAAGAAACUAUAAGAGGAAGGAAAGGAAAGUGAAGUGAUUCGAAGUUCUGCGUGUGAUAUAUAUAUCUGCUGCUUUCAUUUUUUUUUACGACUAAUGGAUUUUAUUUUUAAAAAGAGUAGUAGUUUUUAUCAAAGUUGAAGCUUUGAAAGUGGAAAUCGAGGGCUAAUUCGCUAUUUAAAUUUCAAUGUUUUUUUUUUCUUUACUAUGUAAACAAAGAAUUGAAAUUAAAAUGGAUGUUAAAAACGGGAACCAGAGCUUGUAAACUGGUUAGCUAAUAUUUUUACUAAUGGAGAAACAAGAAGUGUAAGAUUUGCAUCUUGUUGUUACUGCUUUUCCUCUAGUUUCUCAGGGAUGAUUAACACCCAUUGAAUAUUUAUGGCACGUGAAGAACCAUGUUGUGGCUAGUCAGGGGUGUUUCUGAUAGAAUUGGCUUCAUAUUUGCCAGGGUGAUCAUUCUCGUCCGACGCGUGUUAGAGUUUGAUGUCCGGUGCAAGAAAGGUUGCUAGGGUUGGCCAGGAGAUAUGAUCUCUAGAGCUUUAGUGUGAUCUCCAAGUAAAUAAACACACAAAUAAUUCUAGAAAAAAAAAAAAGGGGUGCUGGACCCGAGCAUAUAAAUUAGUAAUUAAUUUAUUAAAAUGAG